GUGCUCACUUCGGCAGCACCUAUACUAAAUUGGAAUGAUACAGAGAAGAUUAGCAUGGUUCUUGUGCAAGGAUGACAUGCAAAUUCAUGAAACAUUCCAUAUUUUU
Molecule: small nuclear RNA, 106 nt
Filed under: Sciurus vulgaris (Eurasian red squirrel)
Lineage: Eukaryota; Metazoa; Chordata; Mammalia; Rodentia; Sciuridae
Source: RNAcentral